CUGGCGGCGUGCUAACACAUGCAAGUCGAACGCGAAAGGGACUUACGGUCCUGAGUAAAGUGGCGCACGGGUGAGUAACGCGUAGAUAACCUGUCUUCAUGUCUGGAAUAAUACGCCGAAAGGGGUACUAAUACCGGAUAUCUUGCUUUUCAUAAGUUAUGCAAGCAAAGGUGGCCUCUGCAUAUGCUACUGCAUGAAGAGGGGUCUGCGUACCAUUAGCUAGUAGGUGGGGUAAUGGCCUACCUAGGCGACGAUGGUUAGCGGGUCUGAGAGGAUGAUCCGCCACACUGGCACUGGAACACGGGCCAGACUCCUACGGGAGGCAGCAGUGAGGAAUAUUGCGCAAUGGGGGAAACCCUGACGCAGCGACGCCGCGUGAGUGAGGAAAGGCCUUCGGGUCGUAAAGCUCUGUCAAGAGGAAAGAAGUGUACAAUGGCUAAUACCUGUUGUAUUUGACGGUACCUCUAAAGGAAGCACCGGCUAACUCCGUGCCAGCAGCUGC
Molecule: ribosomal RNA, 502 nt
Filed under: uncultured bacterium
Lineage: Bacteria
Description: bacterial SSU rRNA
Rfam family: Bacterial small subunit ribosomal RNA
Source: RNAcentral